Molecule: ribosomal RNA, 16 nt
Filed under: Sarcoptes scabiei
Lineage: Eukaryota; Metazoa; Arthropoda; Arachnida; Sarcoptiformes; Sarcoptidae
Also listed under: 1 other name
Description: partial 5.8S ribosomal RNA
Source: RNAcentral
UUGUCUGAGCGUCGUU